Molecule: long non-coding RNA, 389 nt
Filed under: Solanum tuberosum (potato)
Lineage: Eukaryota; Viridiplantae; Streptophyta; Magnoliopsida; Solanales; Solanaceae
Description: long non-coding RNA (STUB_LNC000070)
Source: RNAcentral
GAAAACCCCAGAAGCUGAAACAGCUCGAAUUAUCCAACACAAUAAACCUUUCUCCAUAACUAAUGGUAUACUCAAACGCCAGAAUCAUCAUCCUCUGCCUCUGCCUGUCGUUGUAGUUUACAAAGAAUGUCUAAAAAAUCAUGCUGCCACUAUGGGCGCCCACGCCGUAGAUGGCUGCGGAGAAUUUAUGCCAUCCCCUACCGCCACUGCUACUAACCCCACCUCCCUAAAAUGCGCCGCAUGUGGCUGUCACCGGAAUUUUCACCGCCGUGAGCCAGAGGAGCUAUUUCCACCUCCCAACACCGCCGCAGCUCUGCAGUACCAAUCUCAUCACCGACACCACCCUCCGCCUCCGCUGCCGAAUCGUGGAAGUGGGGACCACAGCUGCC